CGCGCUAGCCGAGGCGCUCGGAGAGCCCGAGCCGCCCGUGGCCGGUGUCCUCGCGCCCCGCGGUCUCCGACUAGGCUCAUUCCAGACACCGUGCUUGUGGACUUGGUCAGUGACAGCGACGAAGAGGUUCUGGAAGUGGUCGCGGACCCAGGAGAGGUGCCUGUCGCCCGCCUCCCCGCACCGGCCGCACCUGAGCAGGACAGCGACAGUGACAGUGAAGGGGCGGCCGAGGGGCCUGCAGGAGCCCCGCGUACAUUGGUCCGACGGCGGCGGCGGCUGCUGGAUCCCGGGGAGGCGCCGGUGGUUCCUGUGUACUCUGGAAAGGUACAGAGCAGCCUCAACCUCAUUCCUGAUAAUUCAUCCCUCUUGAAACUUUGUCCCUUUUUUUUUUUUCUCUCAUAUUGAGACCACUAAUGAAACUAGAGUUCUAACUGGUCUACCCUGGUGUAAGUAGACUGUUCUGAGCCCUCAACCCUGAUUCUCAGUGGUUGCUUCUGGGCUGUGCUGGUUGCUGACUAUUAUAUGUUACUUAUAAACUGUCUGAAAUGCACCUUUGUGGGGGAGAACAACUUUUAUUUUUAAUUAUAAUGAGCCAGUUUUCUAAGCUUUAUCUAUUAAAGUAAAAUUAAUCUACUAA
This 637-nucleotide long non-coding RNA is filed under the name Rattus norvegicus (Norway rat). RNAcentral's name for it is "long non-coding RNA NONRATT003155". Lineage: Eukaryota; Metazoa; Chordata; Mammalia; Rodentia; Muridae. The record is from RNAcentral.